AGAUUGAACGCUGGCGGCAGGCCUAACACAUGCAAGUCGAGCGGUAGAGAGGUGCUCGCACCUCUUGAGAGCGGCGGACGGGUGAGUAAUGCCUAGGAAUCUGCCUAGUGGUGGGGGAUAACGUUCGGAAACGGACGCUAAUACCGCAUACGUCCUACGGGAGAAAGCGGGGGACCUUCGGGCCUCGCGCCAUUAGAUGAGCCUAGGUCGGAUUAGCUAGUUGGUGAGGUAAUGGCUCACCAAGGCGACGAUCCGUAACUGGUCUGAGAGGAUGAUACAGUCACACUGGAAACUGGAGACACGGUCCCAG
RNAcentral lists this ribosomal RNA (310 nucleotides) under uncultured soil bacterium. RNAcentral describes it as "bacterial SSU rRNA". It matches the Rfam family "Bacterial small subunit ribosomal RNA", at positions 26 to 334 of the family's 1533-position model. The record is from RNAcentral.